This 477-nucleotide ribosomal RNA is filed under the name uncultured bacterium. Its description in RNAcentral is "bacterial SSU rRNA". It matches the Rfam family "Bacterial small subunit ribosomal RNA", at positions 365 to 832 of the family's 1533-position model. The record is from RNAcentral.
UUCGCAAUGCCCGAAAGGGUGACGAAGCGACGCCGCGUGCGGGAAGAAGGCCUUCGGGUUGUAAACCGCUGUCGGGAGUUAGGAAAUGCAAGGAUGUUAAUAGCAUCUUUGCUUGACUAAGGCUCCGGAGGAAGCCACGGCUAACUCUGUGCCAGCAGCCGCGGUAAUACAGAGGCGGCAAGCGUUGUUCGGAAUUAUUGGGCGUAAAGAGCACGUAGGCGGCCGUGUAAGUCGGUUGUGAAAGCCUUCCGCUCAACGGGAGAACGGCAUCCGAUACUGCAUGGCCCGAGUGCGGGAGGGGAGAGUGGAACUUCUGGUGGAGCGGUGAAAUGCGUAGAUAUCAGAAGGGACACCGGCGGCGAAGGCGACUCUCUGGCCCGUAACUGACGCUGUGUGUGCGAAAGCUAGGGGAGCAAACGGGAUUAGAUACCCCGGUAGUCCUAGCCGUAAACGAUGGGCACUAAGUAGAGGGGUUUU